Molecule: long non-coding RNA, 355 nt
Organism: Penaeus monodon (black tiger shrimp)
Lineage: Eukaryota; Metazoa; Arthropoda; Malacostraca; Decapoda; Penaeidae
Exons: 3
Source: RefSeq, a predicted model, not a curated record
CCUGAGGUUCACAACACAGGCCGGUCUUGGUGUUCCUGCAUUCCACUUUCCUUUGGUUCAGUUUGAGCAGCAGUUGCCAUCAUGAGACUGGGCGUGCUUCUACUCCUGUCGGUGCUUUGGACGGCGCAAGGAUUUCCUGCACGGAAUGGUUGCGUCGGAAGACCAGGCGGUUCCCCAGGUUAGGCAAUCCAUCUUUCCAACCAGUGGUAUUUGUACCCGUCUACUUGGCUUCCCCGGCAACUGGUCCAUGCGGUGGUCCAGGUCAAGGAGGUGAUGGUGGAAGUGGAGGAAGUGGUACCGGAAGUGGAAGUGGUACCGGAAGUGGAGGAAGCGGUGGAAGUGGAACUGGAACUGG